Molecule: unclassified non-coding RNA, 345 nt
Filed under: soil metagenome
Description: partial contains 5.8S ribosomal RNA, internal transcribed spacer 2, and large subunit ribosomal RNA
Rfam family: 5.8S ribosomal RNA (bases 1-120)
Source: RNAcentral
GAUGAAGAACGUAGCGAAAUGCGAUACGUAAUGUGAAUUGCAGAAUUCAGUGAAUCAUCGAGUCUUUGAACGCACAUUGCGACCCCUGGUAUUCCGGGGGGCAUGCCUGUCCGAGCGUCAUUGCUGCCCUCAAGCACGGCUUGUGUGUUGGGCCUCCGUCCUCCUCCCGGGGGACGGGCCCGAAAGGCAGCGGCGGCACCGCGUCCGGUCCUCGAGCGUAUGGGGCUUCGUCACCCGCUCUUGUAGGCCCGGCCGGCGCUUGCCGACACAUCAAUCUUUUUUCCAGGUUGACCUCGGAUCAGGUAGGGAUACCCGCUGAACUUAAGCAUAUCAAUAAGCGGAGGA